CCUCUUCUUCCCUCUCCCUCAUCUAGUGUUCCGAUUGGGAAGGCCGAACCAUCUCGAUUUGCAGACAGUGCGGCUCGGAACAUCCUGAACCGUCCGAUUCAUGACGUUUCAGCAAAUCAUGCUGAAUUGAAAAAUAUUUUCGAUUAUAGCAGUAUUCAUUGCUUAAAGAUGUUAGAGGAGGCAGAUGCAGAAGUUACAACAUUGAUUA
RNAcentral lists this long non-coding RNA (208 nucleotides) under Elaeis guineensis (African oil palm). RNAcentral describes it as "long non-coding RNA (EGUI_LNC076316)". The record is from RNAcentral. Lineage: Eukaryota; Viridiplantae; Streptophyta; Magnoliopsida; Arecales; Arecaceae.